GUUGUCGUGGCCGAGUGGUUCAGCCGAUGGACUAGAAAUCUCUUGAGAUCUUCCCGCGUAGGUUCGAAACCUGCCGACGUCA
RNAcentral lists this transfer RNA (82 nucleotides) under Dreissena polymorpha. RNAcentral describes it as "tRNA-Ser". The record is from RNAcentral. Lineage: Eukaryota; Metazoa; Mollusca; Bivalvia; Myida; Dreissenidae.